Caretta caretta (loggerhead turtle) is the source of this 5677-nucleotide long non-coding RNA. RefSeq lists it as uncharacterized. NCBI's taxonomy places the organism in Eukaryota, Metazoa, Chordata, Testudines, Cheloniidae. The record is from RefSeq and is a predicted model, not a curated record.
AGUUAAAAGUGAAUAGCUGCAGAGUUGUAGGGAGUCUUGUCUGAGCUCUGUUCAAGCAGGGCACCAGCCUGCUGCGGUCGCCUAUUGUGACUUGGGAGCUGAGACUGUUAACGGUCCCCUGAUCAGGGAAAGUGCUGUCAAGGAAAAGGGGGUGAUGAAAGACUAAGUGGUCUCCUUGAGGCUGUAAAGUGGUCUUGUCUAACCAGGAUCCAAGAUUAUUGACCUCUGGUUAGAACAACGCCCGUCUUCAGAGCGGUCGUGGAGCUUGGAUUGAUCCACAUUUAGAAUCACGUUGCCCUUUGUUGACUUGGCUGGAUUACUUUACCGGACCAACGAAGUGCUGUGCCCAGCUUGAGCGUCUCCAAGCACGCCCACACAAGCAGUUGUCUGGAACUUUGAAGUUCAGAGGAGUGCACACUCAGAGGGCCCGAUUUGUGCUUCAUGAAGACUCUUAUGGCCUGAAGGGAGUAUUCCUGAUAUUUAUUUGGGAUAUUCAAGAUCAGAAUGAGUUCCAGAGUAACCUGUCUCAGGCAGAUGACAAGGAAAAUGUGAUAUGGACAAUCCCUUCAUGUUUGUGUGCUACAUUUGGAUACAUCAUUGUAAAACCAUUCUCAGUAAAUAGUGUCAUCCUCAGAUUCAUGGCUUGGGACCUUUGGCAUCAGGUUUUUAAUUACAUCAUGGAUUCUGACCCUCUGUCUUAGAUAGGAUGUCCCAAAAUCCUAAUGUUGCAGUAGCACUGUUUACUUUUCAAACACUCUCAUUUUCCUGAAGUGCCUGCACGCACAGAGUUUUCAGUCCAUGCUGCUUUUCUUACACUUUUUUUCCACUAUUUGUUAUUUACGUUUCAGUGGACACUCCUUGCAGUUUCAUCCCCUCAGUUUUAUUUCACUUGGUCUCAAAGGAGUCCAUGGAAAUUUGAAAGUUAUUUAGUUUAAAAUGAAGAGAUUCCAGAAGUUCUGUUACUAAAGGUGCCCAUAAGGUGUUAGAAAAUGAAGAGGUCACCCUGGGCCUAAAGCAGGAUGCCAUACCUACAACUUGCACUCCCCAAGUAUGAGGUGCAAAGUCUUGUGCACAUAAGGCAUUGGAAAAUUCAGAGGCCAACCUAGGCUUAAAAGAAGACUUCAGACCCAUGGCAAAGUCAUGUCCAUCACCCUUAAAAUUAAGACAUUUAGGCAUUUUUGUUCUUUGACUACAUUAGAUUUGUAAAAUGUGAAGAGAUUGUGAGUUUCAAAGGCUCAAACUCAUUUUGCCCCCUCUAGUUUAGGAGUCCAGAUACUGACUGGAAAAAAAGAUGAUUUAAUAAGGAUACCAAUGUCAACCUGGGAAGCAAUUUAGCACUGCGGGGAUGUGGUUGCUUAACUGUAUAUCAUACAUGAAGCAGUAACACAGAACACUCUCUAAAGGAACAUGUAGAACAAAAACCCCACUCCAAAAUUUUGUUGAAAAUGUGCCUGGAAUCUAGAAAUCAGGAGAGUAGGCAUUUAUAAUUCUCAAGCUUCCUCACAGGAAAUGCUACUAUGCCAGCACAUCUCAUCUCCCUUGUCUUCUUUUCCACUCCCACAGCAAUUGCCUCUGGUCUGGCCUGUGCUUCUAUUGUCCUCAGACACCAUGGCAAAUGGAACAAUACAAAAACAGGAUGACCUCCCAUUCUUUCCCCCUUCCCAGCAAUGCAACAUAAUACUAACCUAGAACUGCUACAGUAACGGUGAUUGCGUGUAAAUGUCUGCGGCAUGCUUUAGAAGUAUUCUACAAAAUAAUUAAUGGUUGUAUUUUUGUUAAUUACUUAAGGUAAAAUAUAUGUGUGUGUGUGUGUUAGAGUCAUCAUUUGAAUGUCAUGAUAUGGUCUUUUAGGAUAACUUUACCAAUAUUAAAUUUAUCCUUGAUUUGAAUUGGAAUAGACAGAACAGUAACUGAUACAGUAUUUGCCCAGACCCCUGCAGUGACAACUGAAUAUGUCAAAGCCACAUUUACUUGGGUUUUAUGAGAGUAAUUAAAAUUAUUUGUAGGAGAAUUAUUUGUGGAAACUUAAGAGAUAUUAUAUAAAAUAAACAGAAUGGGAACAGAGGAAGUAAAGUUUUCUCUAAGAAAAGGAAAGAAAAUGCAUAUCUGAGUAAAUCUUUCAGUCUUCAAGAGUCUUGAAAUCUCUGUUCACACUUUCCUUAGAUAAUUUUUAUUAGUUUGAGGUUAAAUAAGCAUAACAAAGCAUGCAUAUUAUGUUUGAUGGUUUCUGCAGUACAUCCAUCUGCUUGAAACAAGGCAUGUCUAGCCUCAAACUACGAAAAGUAGAUACAAGUUACUGAGUCAGGAUUUCCGGUCUUACAGUAAUGACAGUCUGGACUUGAUUUAUCUUAUUAUAAAAAUAGCCUGGCCCUCAAAAGAUUAAACUCACAGAGACCUAGAUGUUUUUCCCAUUAAAGACAAAGGUAAAAUCCUCAGUUUUCAAGCAGGAUGGGACACAGAGAGGGUACCAGUUACAGACUCUUGGUCUGAUCCUGCUCCCACUGAAGACAAUGGACCAUUUACACACAUUACACCCAAACAAAUAACCUAUGUUAAAAGUGCACUGUUACGAUUGCGAAGUCAAGUACCCAAAAGUUAGAAAAUGCCAGAAUUAAGGUAGCCUGUGCAAAUUUAUCCUGGCCUCCUUGUGCAUAUGCAUUAUGAUUCAGUCUUUAAUUACAUCAUCAUCAUGCUCUUUUUUUCCUCACGUACCCAUGCGUCUUUCAGUGAACAGACUGAAUGGUGCUCAUUUAAUGAGCAGCUAUUCAAUAUUUUGUUUUCUCCUUAUUGUUCAAAGCGUGGCCCCAAGCUUUCUUUACUGCAGGCUCUUCAAACUCUGCACUGAAGAUAGAACUAUUAAUUUUGUCAUGGGCUUUUCUAUGGCACUCAUCAAUACAGUACUCAAAUGCUUCACAGACAUUAAUUAAUUUAGCUUCUUCAAAAUGUGAAGUUAGGGGUGGUAUUAUUCCCAUUUCACAGAUGGGCAGAUGAGACACAGAGAGAUUAAGUUCAAAAGCACCCAUUACUUUUGGAGCUGACUCUGAGACACUUAGAAUUGUAUUGCUUCAGAGUACUUAGCACUAUAUAGCACUUUAUAUAUGCAAGCUCAGCUCCCAUUGACUUCAGCUGCAGAUGUGCAUGCUCAUCAAUUCUGCAAAUCAAGCCCAGGGUUUCAAGCUGAGCACCCAGAAAAUAAGGAACAUGCAAUCAAUGACCACCUCCAAAAAUUUGGUUUAAGUGACUGUCUUAGCAUCACACAGAAAUUCUGUGAUAGAGACAGGGAUAGAAUCCAGUUCUCCAGGGCAGCAUUCAACUCCCUAACCAUGAGGACCUUUCUUCUCUUCCUGAAAUCACCUGCUUCAUUUACUACACAUCUUCCACCUUCUACAACAAAUGAGAUAGGGGUCCUACAGACAACAGGCUCCUACAUUACAUAAUCUUCAUUCAUCCCCCAAAAUGGGUUUAUCAUGUGAAGUGAAUAAGGUAACGAUCCCAUGGGAGAAAAAGAUUAUGUGAUUGCGUAAUUAAAGACAAAUGUAAUGUUUAAGUACAAAGGGGCUGAAUUAAGGUUUCUCACAGUCUGCCAUCCUCAAUCCCUUCCCUUGUUCUCUACCCUGCCCAAUCAGUCCCAAUUCUCCACCCCCAUGCCAGCUCCAUGUCAAAUCUAUCUCUCCUCCCUCUCACCCCUGCUCCCUCCACUAGUGCCUAGACUCAGUCUCCCCUGACCCCAGCCCCUCAUCUGAUUUUAGUGCCCCCCAGACAACUGGGUCCCAGUCCCCCAAUGCCAAUUCCUUCACUGGAUUCCCCCAGCCCCAGUCCCCUUGACUAACCAGUCCUUGUCUGCACUCCACCUCCCUCACUACUCCCAGACUUUCCCCUCAAAUCCUAGUCCCAGUUUCUUUUCCCUCCAGUCCAUCUCACCAGAUUCUUUGUCCUAAUCUAUUCCUUUUCCCCUGCCCCGGUCCAGCUUUUGGCCUCUCUGCACUGGACUCAGCUUGCUUCCUCCUCCAUACUAUCUGGGUGCAGUAGGAAGCCAUUGAGAACACUGGAGAGACAGACUCCCUGCUUUCAGUUCUAGUGCCCAGCCCCACCAUGGCCUAGAGGAACUUGGAGCAGCCAUUGCAGGAAAAGUUUGGCUUCAUCCAGCCCUUGGCUGGAGUAUGCUCAUGUGCUUUGUAGGAAUGGCACAUGCACAGUCUAGUCAGUGCUAGUAGCUGUUAGAGAUUUGAGCAUGCACAUAAUCUUUUCGUGAAUCGCAUGCAUCCGAUGAAGUGAGCUGUAGCUCACGAAAGCUUAUGCUCAGAUAAAUUGGUUCGUCUCUAAGGUACCACAAGUACUCCUUUUCUUUUUGCGAAUACAGACUAACACGGCUGCUACUCUGAAACCUGAGCGUGCACAGUGAGCACAGAAUCUUGGAGGACUUUAGCUGCUAAUAUCUAAGAAGUCUCUAUUGAACUUUUCAAAGGCUUAUAACUUGGAUAAAUUUCUGUGGAUUUUCACAAGGAUAGAAAAAGCAUAUUCCUGACACAAGGGCAACUCCCUGCCAAAUUUCAAGUCCCUACUCCAAAGCUUGGGAACACCAGAACAUAGCAAAGAAAAAUCUAAAGAUUUUAUUUUUAACAUGGACAAAAUACUUUAUUUUCCCCUAUCCUAGUUUUUGGAAAUGGCUGAACAGUUUUCGCUGAGAUAGAUAGAUAGAUGAUACAAAAUUCAGCCUAAUGCAGACACUUCCAUGUAAAAUUUCAGCCAAAACUGUUCAAGUUUAGCAAAAUUAUAAACAACUAAAACCAAGGUAUCAUAGUGGGAAGUGUGAGAUAACCUUAAUAUCAGAUGGUGCUACCAGCUCUGCAUAUAGUAUAGUAGAUAAAAGAAUAAUAAUUAUUGUUUAAUUUCUCUGUAUACUAUAUGUAUAAUGCAGUAUACCUCUUUCUCUCCUUUACUUUGAAGACCAUUGUGGCAUUACACCCUUUUUAUUAUUAACUAUUUUCUAAAUCUCUCUGUUCAUAUCUAUUGAACAAUCUAUAAAUGGAAUCAAAUUCUAUUGUAGUUCAGUGUAGGCUAUAAUUUUGCUCUGGCUAUCUCAUCAGUUGCAUCCAUUGGAGUCAUUGAGUUAUGCACAUGCAGUUGAUUGACCAACCUCUUUUACAGCUACAUCACAGAAUACAGAGCUGUACACAACUGACAGUGAAAGUAUGAGCAUCCUGUUCUAAUAAUAAACAUUUAAUUUAACUAAAAAACACUCAGUAUCAUGUGAAUAAUUAAACAUACAAUUUACAUUGCCACUGAUUAAAAUGACUAGCCAGCUAAAAUAUGUUAAUAAUCCUAUUGGAUACUCAAAAUCUGCAUUUCAAGAAAUAGCAAAAGUAGAGUAAAAGCUCGUAUUUUUUGUUUGUUAAUUAUACCCUAAGAGAAACUAUGCUGUCAUCAUCUGUUUUAUUCAAGAAGCAUUAGACAAUCAAAGAAAGUACAUUAGAACCUGAAAUUAUCUCCCUUUCUCACUCACUCUUUUUUAUUUAUUUUAACUAAAAGCAGGAAUUUAAUCUUCAUUUUGAAUUGAGAAUACCGAGUAUCUACCCCAAUUGUACAAUAUAUAGUCUGAGAGAAAACACUGGAUUUUCUCAAAAUUUGCAAUUCGUUGAUGAGUCUGUGAAUUAAAAUUAAUUAAAGUUGGACAAUU